Molecule: ribosomal RNA, 395 nt
Filed under: uncultured bacterium
Lineage: Bacteria
Description: bacterial SSU rRNA
Rfam family: Bacterial small subunit ribosomal RNA
Source: RNAcentral
GUGCCAGCAGCCGCGGUAAUACGUAGGGGGCAAGCGUUGUCCGGAAUUAUUGGGCGUAAAGAGCGCGUAGGCGGUCCGAUAAGUCGGCUGUGAAAGUCCAGGGCUCAACCCUGGAAAGCCGGCCGAUACUGUCGGACUAGAGUCCGGAAGAGGCGAGUGGAAUUCCCGGUGUAGCGGUGAAAUGCGCAGAUAUCGGGAGGAACACCAAUGGCGAAGGCAGCUCGCUGGGACGGUACUGACGCUGAGGCGCGAAAGCGUGGGGAGCAAACAGGAUUAGAUACCCUGGUAGUCCACGCCGUAAACGAUGGGCACUAGGUGUGGGAGGUGUCGACUCCUCCCGUGCCGCAGCUAACGCAUUAAGUGCCCCGCCUGGGGAGUACGGCCGCAAGGCUAAA